GCCACCGACGAGUUUCAACAUGGGGAAUCAAGUUCUCUGGGCUUGCAGAGAGGAGAUGGGCGGGUUGGGCUUUGUAUGGCGAUGUGAAAACCAGAUGGGUCUGGGAGAGACAGCGAAAGGAGCGAACCGUUUCAGGAGGAAUACGGGAGGAAGACAAUUAUUUGCAGAGGUGUCAGGGGAUUUGAUGCAGAUGAUCAUCAUGGCUUGGAGAAACAAUGAAGGAAGCAAAGUAUGCCAUCUAUGCUGCGGGAGGUAACUCCAGAAGACCCCAGAGAGAACGAGUUUGGACUUUUAACUGAGGGCCAUUGGAAACUACUGAAGAGUUUUAGGCAGCAUAAGAACUACUAGAUUUUCAUUGUGGGAGGAUCCUCAGCAGCAGCCUCAGAAAGGAGAUUGGGGAAGGAGAUCCCUAGUCAGGGAGACCAAGAAGACUACUGGAAAAAAACAGGGGAAUCCUCAAGGACCUGCAAACAAGAAACCAAAUCCCCCCACUCCCCCCAGCCAAAAUGUGUUCAUUUUGACCAGCUGUGUGUGUGUUUUAAAUUAAAAGUUUGAAUUAGAAAGCAAGUAGGAUAAAUUUAUAUACUUAGAUGUAUAAAUUUAAAUACCUGGCCCCUGAAGCACUUCUGAUAGGUCUCAGCUACCCAAACAAGAAGAACGGAAUCUUUGAAUCCCCAGGACUCAACGCAGUACUGGACACAAAAUGGGAGCUGAAAAAGUGUGUGUGGAGUCAGUGAAGGAUGCAAUUUCCCCUCAUUGUAGAGAUGAAGAAGCUGAGGCUGCAGAGUAGAAUAGGAGCAGACAGUGGGGAUUGUCUUCAAAGUAGGUUCCUAGUUCCUGGCUCAGAGGUCCCAGUUUUUGUUGACCAUGGACAGUAAAACUCCCUGGGGAAGCGGGCCCAGUCUCAGGAGAGCAGUUUUGAUUGGUCUAAGUUUGUGAUUGACUUAGGAACUGUCUGGCCAAUGAAAUAUGAGGGAAAGCCUGGGGGAUUCUGGGAAAGGUUUUGUAAACCAAAAAGUAUUUGAGACAUGUCUCAAUUUUAGAGGAUUAUUUUGCCAAGGUUAAGGACCAUUGCCCAUACAGCCUCAGGAGGCCCUGAGAACAUAUACCCAAGGUGGUUGGGGUACAGCUUCAUUUUAUACAUUUUAGGGAGUCAGAAGUUACAGGCAAAGACAUAAAUCAAUACAUGCAAGGUAUACAUUGGUUUGGCCCAGAGAGGUGGAACAUCUAGAAGCAGGAGCUUCCAGGUCAUAAGUGGAUUCAAAGAUUUCCUGAUUGGCAGUUUGUUGACAGAGUUAAGCUCCGCCCCAAGAGUUGAUGUCAGCUUAAAUUAAGGUAAGGGGGUGCUUUGUGGAAACCAACGUUCUUAUCAUGUAUAUGAAGCCUCCAGGCUUCAGCGAGAAUAGAUGUGAAUGUCUUUUAUUGGACCUUAAAAAUUGUCAGACUUUCUGGAAAAGACCUAAUAAGGGAAUCUUUACAGAACAUAAUUUUUUCACCCACAAGUGACAGCUUGGCAGGGCCGUUUCAAAAUAUGUAAAGAAAUAUAAUUUGAGGUAAAAUAAUUUGAUUUCCUUCAGGGCCCACUGGCUGUCACGUGAUGUUAUACCAGAGUCAGAUUGGAAUCUGUUGUCUUACUGCUACCAAGAUUUUGUCUUGACAGUCUUAAGAUUCCUGUUUUAAUGUCAGUUCUGGUCAGUUGUGUCUAAACUCAAAAGGAAGGAGGGUAUAAUGAGGCAUGUUUCACCCCCUCUUUCCCAUCAUGGCCUGAACUAGUUUUUCAGGUGUUUUUUUGAAUCCCUUUGGCCAAGGGGGAUCCAUUCAGUCAGCUGAGGGGCUUAGAAUUUUAUUUUUGGUUUAUAGUUUCCUCUUGAUUAAAGAAGGAAGUCUGCAAUGUGGGUUUGUAACCUAGUUUUUAAUAACUUUACAUCAGACUUGUAAUUUAUUGUUACUUUCUGAAGACACACUGAUAAAACCUCUCUACCAUGACGUCAUUGCAUGUUUUCACGGUAGAAAUUCUAAUUAUUUGCUAAAGUGAAAAUAAAGUCAAACAUGCCUAAGUCUUUAUCUGCUUAACCACAUUAGCUAUGGUGUGAUCAUGGAAAAAGGGCACACAUCAAGACAUAGUUUUAAAAGAAUUAUUAGAAUGUUGACUACCAGAAUAAUAUUGACCCAGGAUGAACUUCUUUUUUUAUUUUUUCAUUUCUGCUUUUUUGUUAUUGGUGUUUAUAACUUCCUCAGAGAUUCACCAUGGGGUUACCUCAUACAAGAGACUACCUUCAGGUACAGAUUUUCAUCACCAUACUUUCUGUAGGUGCCCCUGGCAGUCAGAGGUUACCACAAACAAAAAGUACUUUGGUGAGUAGUGUUAUAGUGAGAUUCUGAUAACUCAUUCAUCAGAGCCUCUCACUUAAGUACGAAGAUAAGUACCAGAGUUACAAUCUUGAGCAAAAGCAAAGUCCCUGUCUUCAUCUGUGUUACAGAAAAGACAGGCCUUAAGCACACACUCACCAAAAAAGCAAAGACAUUAGUGCAUACUUCAAAAUGCAUAAAAUAUAAGACCCCCUAGUGCCAUGAGAGUACAUACCAGGCUGACCUGGCCUAAAUAUAAGUUUCAUCAGAGGAAGUGGUAUUUAAACUGAGUUCUGAAUAUUGAAUAGAAGUUAAUUAAGGUUGGAGUAGAUGUAGAAGAGGUAUUCACAGUGUAUCUCAUAUCAUAAAUAUGGUAGGUAAUUCAUAAAUACUUGUUGAUUGAAAGAAUGAAUUGAACCUAUCCCCCCAGUAGGGCAAAUCAAGUGUAAGGAAAAUUAUUCACUGGAACAAACCAUUGGAGAAAGUUUAGGCCAGUUUGUCUAAUCAUCAGUCUUUCACAAUAAUUUGUUACAGACCAGAGGCUCCCCAUGUAAUAAAAAUUAACAUGGAGCCAAGCAGAUUCCUCAGACAAGGCUUUUAUCUGGUGUUUGUGCUUGAGUGCAAGGGAGACAGCAGAGGCACAAGGACCUUCUGGUGACUCUCUGAAAAAGAGCUGGUAGGGAUUUUUUAUGAGACAAAGUGCUGGAAUUGACAAUAGGGGUAAGAUAUGCAGGCUGGGCUGGACAAAGCAUGUGAGGGGUAGGGUAUGUAGCAUAGCGCGUUGCUAUGUUUUUCUUGAGUAAUGGGCCAACUGGUUAUCUGGGAGCAGCAAAGAGGGUUUAAAUCAGAUUUUCGGCAUUCCUUCCCAGGUAGGACACUCUGCAACCUUGGUUUGAUUUUGGAUCCCCCAAAGCCAGUUUCUGAAAUUCUGUAAGUAAAAGACAUGGUUAAACAUUAUGAGAGCAAAGAAGAAUGGCUGUGUUCUUUGUGUGACUAAAGCCUUGGAGUUAGCAGGUAUAGCAUCAGUGAGGUAGUGGUGUGGGUUUUGUGGUCAGUGGGAAUGUAUGAAAGAAUGCUCUACUGGGGGCAAGCUGAAGCCAAGCCCAGUUCUUGCGCUUUCUCAAAUUGACCACAUGAGAGUAAUCCCUUUCUCUUUACGAUUCUUUCUCUCUCGUGAUGGAGUACUUUCUUCAAACACAUACCCAAGAUACUCUUGUUGUCUAUUUUUUUUUUUCGUUUUAUUUUGGUCAACAAAGAGGGGAAAAUAUAGCAUCAGCAGCUGCCACUACCAGUAAUAACUGUGUGUGCAGGAGUGAAACGCACCCCACGUGAAUAAACUUCCUGUUAGGCACUAAUAUUUUUUGAGCACCUACUAAUUAUGAUAUGGAGGGGGAUGGUGCAUGGCUGCCUAGAAAUUUGAUAGGCUGUAAUCAGAAUGACCCCAAGUAUUGGACAUAAUUUCAAGAAUGGAGCUGAGUUUAGCAAAAUUAUAACAGUCAUAUUAUCUAACAUGUAUUAAAUCCUCAUGUGCCAUAUACUGUCCUAAGCACACUAUAAAUAUCAUUUUUUUAAAAUAAGUAUCACAAUAGCCAUGUGAAUUGGGUACUAUUAUUAUCCUCAUAUUCCAGAUUAGGGAACUGGAGCUUAUAGAGGCUCAUUAGCUUAUCCAAGUUCACACAGUGGAUAAUAGUGUCACUGACAUUUGAACACAGGUCUGGAUGGCUCCAGAACUUACUGUGGUAUAAAACAAAAUAUAUUUGGUCUUUGUCCCAAUUCCUGUCAGAGAUCCUGAAACACUCAAAAUUUCCCGGAGUGUGGGGAAAAAAAGGAGUGUUUUGUUAUUCAUAAUGGCCUCUUUUUAUCAUACCUGACUUUAUGCUAAUAAGUUGACUUGUGGUGGGCCCCCUGUGAUAGACUCAGGAUAGGGCCAGACAUCAGAAAAAUCAAGUGAUUAGGGAAUUAGAGGGUUGGAAAUUUCAGCCUCACCCACCAACCUCCAGGAAAGGGGUGGGGGCUAGAGAUUAAGCUCUCUAGAACUCUUGAAUAAUGCAAUUUAAUGAACUCCCAGGUUGCUGAACACAUAAAGGUGCUGGGAGGGUAGUCGCCCAUCCAUGCCUUGCUCUAUGUAUGUAUUAGUUCAUUCUUGCAUUGCUAUAAGGAAACACUUGAGACUGGGUAAUUUAU
RNAcentral lists this long non-coding RNA (4533 nucleotides) under Homo sapiens (human). Its description in RNAcentral is "HSALNT0359200". Lineage: Eukaryota; Metazoa; Chordata; Mammalia; Primates; Hominidae. The record is from RNAcentral.